The sequence is a transfer RNA, 115 nucleotides long. It matches the Rfam family "tRNA". Rfam says of the family: Transfer RNA (tRNA) molecules are approximately 80 nucleotides in length. Their secondary structure includes four short double-helical elements and three loops (D, anti-codon, and T loops). The record is from Rfam.
GCUUCUGUGGCGCAGUGGUUUAGCGCAUCGUGCUUAUAAACGUUUAACACGUCUAUGUUCAAAGCACAGUCGUUUAGAAACGCGAUGGUCGUGGGUUCGAACCCCUCCAGAAGCA